Molecule: ribosomal RNA, 493 nt
Filed under: uncultured bacterium
Lineage: Bacteria
Description: partial 16S ribosomal RNA
Rfam family: Bacterial small subunit ribosomal RNA
Source: RNAcentral
AUUGAACGCUGGCGGCAUGCCUUACACAUGCAAGUCGAACGGUAACAGGUUAAGCUGACGAGUGGCGAACGGGUGAGUAAUAUAUCGGAACGUGCCCAGUCGUGGGGGAUAACUGCUCGAAAGAGCAGCUAAUACCGCAUACGACCUGAGGGUGAAAGCGGGGGAUCGCAAGACCUCGCGCGAUUGGAGCGGCCGAUAUCAGAUUAGGUAGUUGGUGGGGUAAAGGCCCACCAAGCCAACGAUCUGUAGCUGGUCUGAGAGGACGACCAGCCACACUGGGACUGGGACACGGCCCAGACUCCUACGGGAGGCAGCAGUGGGGAAUUUUGGACAAUGGGCGCAAGCCUGAUCCAGCCAUGCCGCGUGCGGGAAGAAGGCCUUCGGGUUGUAAACCGCUUUUGUCAGGGAAGAAAAGGUUCUGGUUAAUACCUGGGACUCAUGACGGUACCUGAAGAAUAAGCACCGGCUAACUACGUGCCAGCAGCCGCCGUAA